This is a long non-coding RNA of Corvus hawaiiensis (hawaiian crow), 1674 nucleotides long. RefSeq lists it as uncharacterized. The record is from RefSeq and is a predicted model, not a curated record. NCBI's taxonomy places the organism in Eukaryota, Metazoa, Chordata, Aves, Passeriformes, Corvidae. The transcript is spliced from 2 exons.
AGCCCCAUCCCUUGUUCGGGAGACAGCGGAGCUGAUUUAUGACCCUCCUUCCCACGGGGCAGGGCCUGCUCGGAAAAAGCCCUCCCGCUCUUCCCGCUCGGGCAUCGGGCAGUUGGGAGACAGCAACCGAGGGACCCGGGCAAGCGCUGCCGGUGCUGACGGAGGAGAGCUGGGCUGGGCAGGAGGGUGUCCCGGCAGCCUGCUGGGAAUUGUUUUGCUCUCCCAACAGGCGGUGCCAGCUCUGCCGCAGACACCGGAGCGGAGAACAGCAGGGCCUUAUAAGGAAGCGGAACGCGGCUCGGCCAUUCAGAGGGACAGCGGGGCCCGCCGGGGCCCUGCCUCAGCGCCGGGCACCGCGGAGCCACGGAGUCCGGGAGACGGAACCCGAGCCGGGCCGCGCCGGGGCUGGCGGGAAGGCGGCCCCGUAAACAGGCUCCUGCAAAAGGGGCACUGGGGAGAGCACACGUGUGCCUUGAGAGCGAAAAGAAAGGGAAGAAAGACAAGGAAAGAAAAAAAGCAACUAGAAAGGCCUGCCACUUUUCGCACGGAGCCUUAUUUGGUAUUUUCAUGAAAAGUUAUAUCUUCACGCUGUAAAAAAUGCCACUUAUUACUCAUGCUUUACUAGGUAAGUGUAUUUUGCUUGGCAACAAGUGCUCUGGGGUUUUUUUCUCACUUCACUACUCCCGUACAAACUAUUUCGAAGGUUUCAUUAGUUUCUCCAUCAGAGCUGGCGCUGCUGCCGCUGUCUGAGGGCCGGGCUGUUAAACCGAGACACAGCCGCUGUUUGUUCGGGACGUUUUCGGCCCGACCCGCGGGGCUGUAAAACCCCAGCGCGGGUGUCCUGCGGCGGGGCCCACAGGGGCCCUUUCAGCCCCGUUCCUGCCCGCCGCUGCGGCUGCCGCGGGGACACGGCUGUCACCGGUGUCACCCUGGCCCUGGCACUGCCUGUGCGUGGGCACCGCUUGUCCCACGGUCACUCCGUGGUGUGUGGGCGUCACUGUGGACAUCUCCCUGUCCCGUGUCACAGAGCAGGGGUGCCACCCCAUCCCCUGGUUGUUACAGGUGCGUGGAUAUCACCCCAUCCCCAUGAAGUGUAUCAAUGUCACCCUUUCUUCAUGACCACUCUGGAAAGGUGGAUGUCACCCUCUCGCUGUUGUCACUGCAGACACACGGGGAUGUCACUCUGUCCCUAUACACGUGGAUAUCACCAAUCCCCGUGGCACUGCGUCUGCGUGGACCUCAGCCAUCCUGUGGUCCAUGCCACGAGUGAGUGUCACCAUCACUAUGCAGAGCCACCACCUCAUCCUUCCUCGGGGUCACAGCACACCCAGGGACAUCACCCUGUCCCCACAGUCACAACAUGCCCGUGGGUGUCACCGUGUCCCAAGGUCCCUGCAGACACACGGAAUCCCCCCUUCACCACCCCUCGUGCCCCGGCGUGGGGACGGUGAGCGAUGGCACAGCCCUGCCGCCCGCCCGUGCCCGUCCUGCCGGCCACCACCGCCCCAGGGCCGCCUGGCCGCGCUUCCCAGCCGCUCUAAAAGCCAGCUUUGUGUUUUACAGCCAGGCCCUCGCUUGGCACACGAUUUUAAUUAGAGUCUGGUUACACGGCUCGGCAGAUGUGGAAUGUAUUUCUUAGCCCAGGUGGAAUAAAUCUAUUGCCAUAAAAACCAA